Small nuclear RNA from Gorilla gorilla gorilla (western lowland gorilla), 107 nucleotides. The record is from Ensembl. Lineage: Eukaryota; Metazoa; Chordata; Mammalia; Primates; Hominidae.
GGGCUCACUUCAGCAGCACAUAUACUAAAAUUGGAAUGAUACAGAGAACACUAGCAUGAGCCCUGUGCAAGGAUGAUGUGCAAAUUUGUGAAAUGUUUCAUGUAUUU